Molecule: ribosomal RNA, 229 nt
Filed under: uncultured bacterium
Lineage: Bacteria
Description: partial 16S ribosomal RNA
Rfam family: Bacterial small subunit ribosomal RNA
Source: RNAcentral
UACGUAGGCGGAAAAUUAAGUCAGUAGUGAAAUCCUGCAGCUUAACUGUAGAACUGUCAUUGAUACUGGUUUUCUUGAAUAUAGUUGAGGUAGGCGGAAUGUGUAGUGUAGCGGUGAAAUGCUUAGAUAUUACACAGAACACCGAUUGCGAAGGCAGCUUACUAAGCUAUGAUUGACGCUGAGGUACGAAAGCGUGGGGGGCGAACAGGAUUAGAUACCCUGGUAGUCC